Molecule: long non-coding RNA, 5455 nt
Filed under: Podarcis lilfordi (Lilford's wall lizard)
Lineage: Eukaryota; Metazoa; Chordata; Lepidosauria; Squamata; Lacertidae
Source: RNAcentral
AUAACAGAGAACUAGGAAGGAAAGGGCAAAUUUUGUGUGAGCAUUAAAAUGUUUCCUUGCACAAGCUCGUCCAUUUUAGUAUCCCAUUAUUUUUGAUCCUCUGAAAUCCACACCCUCUCAUUAACUGUGACAAAUGUCCUGUGAGACUGAUAUUAUAGUCUGGGAAUCUACGCUAUCCUAUCCUGUUGGGUCACUUUAGUUUCCUGGGUGUUCUGUGUUUGGGGAAGCCUAUUUUAUUCAUCACUGGCAGGCCUUUGAAAAAACAAAAAACACUCCCUGACCCUUUUCUAAAUAGAGGCCAAUCACCUUUUGCCUAGUCAUGUUCUGAUAGGCCUGCAGUGAACCUACUUAAGCUAUGGGAAUUACUGUUCUUCUUCUUAUGCUACCUUCUCAAUAUUGGAGGAACUAUUAAAGUGCAAUUUGGAAAGCCAGAACACAAAAUACAAGCAUUAUUGGUUCACAAAGAACAUGGAAAACUACUCUGAGAACCUCAUAAGUUUGAGAUGGGUUUUUGUUAUAAAGGAAUCUGCAGAUAACUGAAGGCAUGUAUAAUAAGACCUUUGGUUCUGAAUAUUGAAAUCCAGAAUUUUAAAAUUCUCAUGUUAAUUCAUUGAAUGUUCACAGUCCUCAAUCUCCAACCUGGUUGGUCCUUUCAUGACAUCACAGCAGUUAAGCCACUGGAAGCCAGGGAACUUGUGAUGAAGCCUGUCCCCCAAGUCAGGGCCAAUUGGCCAGAUGUACAUUGAGAAGCAGGGUGAACAGAAUACUUGGAAGAGGAGGAGACCACAAAGACAGUUUGCCAUAUUGCUGCAUCAUCAGCUAAUAUCAUGGGAAACCACUGGGACAGCUAGUUAAAUGCAGUGAGCUCACUUGGGGUAAUAUAUUUAAAGAACUUUGAACCCACUCCUUUCCUCCCUCCGACCGGCAACUGAAUUUAUUCCACCCACUGGAACAGUAGAGUUAAACCCUGGUUUUUUCAGUAAGGUGGGUGGGCUCAAACUUUGGAUGGCAGCAGGAUUUGUGGAUUGAAACACAUUUAAAAGUAGCACAACGAGCUGCAUAUUAGCUAUAAAAAUCUGAAAUGCCUCUGGCAUGUAUGACUCUGUAAGCUGUGAAAUAAGUUUGACAGCACAUCUGCGCUGUCCCUGUCUCUUCCAGGACAAGUUCUGCUUCUUUUGUCAGCAAAUAUCAAACCUGCAGAGGUAUAAAAGAAAGGAAGAAGUUCUUCCCCCAUCUCUGCUGCUCAGAGCCUGAUCUCUGAUGCAGGCCAAGCAAAAGAAAAACUAUAUAUAAUCAAUGAAACAGGAAGCGUUUCCAUUGGUUUCCCAAAGGUACAGAGUGAGACAUUAAGUACUUACUGGUUGGAAAUGGUGGAGAACUCUGUGGCCCUCUCAGGGCAGUUCACAACAUCAAAAUGCAAUAUGAAAACCCCAUUGGCCAUUGGCCAUGGUGGAAACUGGAAUCCAACAACAUCUGGAAGGUCUCAGGUUCACCACACCUGGUAUCAAGCUAGGCUUGCCACUUUCCAUAUAAAGUAACAGGUGGGGAAUGCCUUUAAGUGUAGAAAGGAUGUGCAGACCAGAGUUUAUCUAAAAUCUCCCCUGUAGUGCAGCUUUCUUUUUCAGAGUCCAUCACUAGACCGCCAUUCAUCUCCACCCGUUUCUGAUCUUGCCUCUGAUGCUGGAAAGGAGCUUGGCAGAGGUCAGAGACAAUGGACUGUGGGGAAGGCAAGCUGUGGAGAAGGGGAGGGUUCAUUCUCCUCCCCAACUAAGUAUUUUUUGUUCUUAAAACUGGGCCACCGUGCUCCUGUCCUUUGUAUUAUCCAUGAUUGGGGAAGGCUUGAGUUCGACCCAACAGGCCUGCUGUUGUUGUGUGUGGGUUUUUUUUUGGGGGGGAUGCAUUGUUCUGGGAUGAAUGGUGGCAUUUCCAUCCAGAGCAAAACCUGCUGUGGGAAGUGAUCGGUUGUCUUCUGCAGAUGGUAACACCCCACUCUAUUCUCCAAAGGCUCCCUUGCAGGAAGAUUCCUCUGCUGACUUUCACGCUAGUUGUUCGGUUCUUAAAAGCAGAGUGUGCAUGUCAAUGGCAGCAAGCCCUCUGGAGGAGCUGGGAGAGAAAAAGCAGCCCCCUCAGAAGGGAAGGCCAUUACAAAAAAACACCCUAUCCUUCCAGGAACAAAGAGCCAGGUUUCCAGGGCAGAAGGUGUUCCGGGGCGGUGAGGUGGGGGGUGUAUUUUUUUUAUUUUAUUUUCUUAGUGUGUUUGCGCGCAUGUAUGUGUCAAGGAUCCUUUUCUUCCCUGUUCCUCUUUUCACAUGCAUUUGAUGAAUACCAAAACUGAGGGAAUUGUUUCCUUGUGAAAGAGCGUGAAAAAUCUCAUUUGGAGAAGUUUAAUGCUUAUUAGACCCAUCUGCCUCCAGGGCGAAUUCUCUUUUUCUUUGGUGCUGAGGCCACAAAAAGAGGAGAAGGAGAGACCUCCGGAAUCCAGCACAAUAAUAAUCCGACACAGGCACAGGGCUGAGAUGGAGACAGGGGAAAUGUUCACACACACACACACCACUCUUCAGUGAGAGGUAAUGUGGGCAAAAGAUCUCACAACGGUUUAAGUGAAUUGUAGUUCCUGAGAAGUAGGCCUCUUCAUUUGCCACGAGUCUUUCAAAGCAUAACCCUACAGCAGUAUUUAGACAAAGAUAUAUGCCAUUUAUGGGUAGGAAAGUAUUGUUUCAUUAACUGAGGCUGCAAUCCUAGUCCCACUUGACUGAGAGUUGAAUUCAGUGGAAUUUACUUAGGAGUAGGUAUGGGCAGGAUUGUGCUAUUCAUCUCUCUUUAAUGAUGUGUGUGUGCAAGGAACAAUGCAUUUACAUUGUAAUAGAUGAGUAUCGGAGAGUUGGAGAGGACCUUUUGCAGGAAUCUUUUUGCCCAAUGUGGGGCUUGAACCCACGGCCCUUAGUUUAAGAGACUCAUGCUCUACCGACUGAGCUAUCCCACAGGAUUCCCUUAAUCUGUUUUUAAGGGUUGAUAACUUUCUCAUACGAGAGAGAUGUUGAUUCAAGAACUUUCUAGUAUUUACUGGUGAUAAUCAAUUAUAGUUAGUUGAUUUCCUUUAUUAACUUGGUUAUUCAUUAAAGGAAGUUAAAUUUUUUUGAAAUCAUUUAAGGGUGACAUAUUUUUUAAAAAAUGAUCCCGAUCCCUCCCGUAAAGUGAUAUUCAGGAAAAAUCUGAAGAAUAGUCCACAUUGGAGUUUACUAUAGUGAGAUGUUUUAUAUAAUUUGAUCAGAAAGUUAUAAAUUAUGAGAUUAGCAAUUUGUCCAGAAAGGUAAUUUUAUAAUCAAUUGAUACUUAUUGCACAUAAGGGGCGGGAUUAUACAAAGGUUUUGGUCUUACUCAAGAAUUGACCUAUUAUAUUGCACCAUAAUUUAAUGAGAAGUAUGGUGAAAGGUGUGAUCAAAGCACAAACAUUUUCUGAUUGUUGCCAGUUAACAAAUGAGCUCAAGUAGAACUCUGUAUCUGAGAACAGAAUCUGGCAGGUGGAAUACUUAAUAGAUUAGGAGGUGGUUGUCACUCCAGAAGAAAGCUAGGUAUACGAAAGGGGUACGUUAGACUGAAUCUAAAUAUAUAUAUAUAUAAAAAGAUUGUCAGCCCACUCUUGUACUUGACAGUAAACAAUCCAUAUGUUCAAUUGGGCUUACUCCUUUGGGGGUGGGCAUAGGGGCUGCAGCGUUCCAUAACCAGCACCCAAUGACAGGAGCUAAAGAUGUUCACAAGAUAAUUGUUCUUGAAGUGAAAAUAAAUAAAGCAUUUGGGCUCAGUGUUCAGGUCCCAAGCAACAUGCUUUCACACCUAGGAUGUCAGGUGCCAAACGUGAGUCCUGUUAAUUUCUCUCACUUGGUCACCACCUACACCCCCACACCCCAUGUCAUCUGAAUAUUUCAAGCAACAUCAAACUUUGCUUUAUAUUCCAAACAUGGUUGGGUUUUUUUGGUUGGCUGCAAGUCUCCUGGAAUUGUAGCAAGCUUGUUUUCUAAUGCUUCGGAGGCUAAGACCCAAGCCAACGACUUCAAGUUACAAGAAGGGAGAUUCCAACUAAACAUCAGGAAGAACUUUCUGAUAGUAAAAGGCAUGGAUCAGUGGAUAUGAGGUGGCGGACUCUCUUCCAGUGGAAGUUGGAUGGCCCUCUGUUGAGAUCCCUGCAUUGUAGGGGUUGGACCCUCAGAAUCCCUUCCAACUCUAUAAGCACACUUAAACGUUGUAGCUGUAUGCAUUCUCUCCCUCCCUUUCUCCCCCUCUCUGGAUAUUGAGCUUGCCUGCCCGCCCUGUGCUGGGCUUGUGAAUGACUCAGCUUUGCAACAAUUGUUCACCUUUCCACUUGUCCCCAAUUAUCCUCUCAUUUGAUUUGACCUAGUUCAGUUGCAUCUUUUUUCUUCCUUUUGGUCUUCCAUUUGACACUUCUUGGAACCAAAUGAGGUAGCGGUGGUGGUGGGAUCAGGGAGAGAGUUUUUUCUCAUGAUUUCACUAUUCCCGACGAAUAACUGAACACGGCCAUGUUUGGUGAACAUUAUUGUCUCCAAACAAUACAGAAAACAAAAGGCGCUGAUGUCAUAAAAAUGUUUGCCUCUCCCACCUACUGCUGACUUCAAUGCAGUAUUGUACUAAACUUCAGGGUGCAGGUGAUUGGGAUGGGUGGGCAAAUAAACACUUGGUCGAGCCAAGGAUUUUUUGUUUCGUUAUCAAAGCGGGAGACAGAGAUCCUGUGACUUUGUUCUGUACCAAGACAGUCAUUCCAUUGUGUCGAAUGGCAGCCACCGGUGUCGGCAAGAUAAGCCAAGAUGUUGCUACUGAUGUGGAAAGACUAGAUCAAGAAAGAUGACCUGCGAAUGGAAUUUGGCACCACCUUGUAAAUAAGCAAACCUAUGGGGCAUUUGUAUUCUCACCUGAUCACUCUAAGGAUUUAGUCCAGGGUUUCGCAAACUUGGGUCUCCAGCUACUGUUGGACUACAACUCCCAUCAUCCCUAGCUAGCAGGACCAGUGGCUAGGGAUGAUGGGAAUUGUAGUCCAAAAACAUCUGGAGACCCAAGUUUGGGAUACCCUGGUUCAGUCCAUUCAUCUGGGUAUGAGGUGGAACCUGCGCAUGUGCUCUUAAAUUCAGUUUCAGGUGUGGGAUUUUGAAACUAUACGUGAGCUAGCUCUGAAGCUGAGUUACCUGCUCAUCUACGAAGCUCACCAGGUGGCCUUGGGCAAGUCGCCAUUGCUCGCUGUGCCUAAUCCACUUCACAGGUAUGGCUGCCAUGUUGCAGCUUGGAGAACGAGUUCUGCCACUCACCAUGCUACCUGCUCUAGGGCAUUUUUGAGUGUCUCACUUGCUGGGAAGUCAAAGGAAAAAGGUGGGGAGAAGAACCAGGGAGUAAGCACUAGGUAGGAGGUACUUUUGCUGCACUGUCUCCCACUGCAGUUGCAAACUGU